CUUUCACCUGCUUUCAUCAUAUGGAGUCCCCUUGCUGGCAAUUGCUAAGGUCACUCAGUUGCCAUGCCGAGGAGGAAAAGCUGCAAAUGCCAAGUAAAAUAGAAACCUAUAAAUGUUGUGUGUCACAGCAGAGCUCAGUGUGAAGCCUUCAGGAAAACUACACCUACAUACAAAAUACUGGUGGUGAAAAAACAUUUUAAAAACCAUUAUUUAGUUAGAAUUCAGUGAUGGCAAAUAGGCUUUUGCUUUACCUCUCUAGAUUUAGAGCUGCUCCUGAGAGAUCAGUUUGGAUUUCUCUGAGACUGACAGAAAGAUAUAGCAAUAGCAUUCCGCAUCCUCUCCACAUGAAUAAACAUGCAUAAAAUAGUAAUCUCUGGCAGCUGGAUGAGCUCACAAAAAGUGCCCACAGGGUCACUGCACAGCGCAAUAUUUACUUAGCACUCAAAUAGUGGUUUUUCCCCUAAAACAACAGCUGCACUGAGGUUUUGCCCGCAGCUUUAAAAAUUAAUAACAGUUUGAUUUUGCUCACUAAUUCAAAUAUGCCAUGGUGGCAGAAAGUUUCGUACCUCAGGCUGAGAGCAGAAUUUGUCAAGCGAAGGGCGGUGCCGCGUGGCUGCGGCUCAUCCCCAUGCUCAGCUCAUGGCCCACGGUCAGACCCUUCUGCUUCAGCAGCAACCACAGGCUUUGAUGGAGUCUUUUGCAAUAUUAACCUAGGCAUGAUUUCUGUAAACAGGGCUCUUAUGCUGGCUGGCUCGCAGCCAGAAAAUGGAAAAAAAAAAGGCUGGGAGGAGAGGGGGCCCGUGGGAAGGGGCUCUGAGAUGCAAAUCACGGUGGUGGUGCUCAGCACACUUUAAUCCUUUGUCCAGUGUAGCUGGGCGCAGAUAAUGCAACUAAUUCAAGUGCUUGUCUCUGUGGUGUGAAUUAGCUGGAUGACAGCCUAAAACCUCUCCCCGGCAACAGCAAACCUGCAAAAAAAGGCAGAAGCAUAGCUCUUCUCUGUUCCCAGCUGCUCUGUCCAGCUUUUGAGUUUGUCCAGCAGAUUCCUGGCUCCCCUCACAUCUCCCUGGCUGCCUGCUUAUGGGGGAGGACUCUCCAGUGGGGCUGCAGACCCCAUGGCUUCCGUCCACCUUCUGCCCCAGGCUGCAGGACACCUUCUCCCCUGGGCAGUCCGACCUGCACAGUCGCUGCAAGGACCCUGGGCAUGUGCUGCAGGUGCCACACGACCUCCUCACUGCCUCCUCGCUGCCUCCUCUACACAGAGAAGGGAAGCAUGGACUAAUGUGAGAGCAGCUUGCAGGCUUUUAUGGCACCACAACAACUGAUGGGCUGGUUAAGGAGGAAUUGAAAUUGAUACAUCUGAGCAGGUGCCUUACCUUGGCCUUCUCACUUGGCUCCUUGACAAUGCCAUUGGUGGAAUUGUUGAGCUCCCUGGACACAACACAGAGGAAUUCUGCCUGGUCUUCGUUCCCAUAGUUGUAGGAAGAUCCAAUGCUGAUCAGCUGUGCAACAGGAGACAGCCAAGGGCAGGUUUUUGGCUGCCUCUCCACUCUGAGACAGUUUUCAGGUAUUACAGAACAGAUCCAUAGGAACAACUGAUGGGAAGAGCUGUUCCUAAUCCUCUGCCUCACUACAUGUCAGCACAAUUCCCACAGCAUCCACUUGUACUGAAGCUGGACUAAAUGGGAAGACACUGCUGUAAUCCACAGACCCUGUUCUGUAGUUUCUUAACAUAACAUAACACACAGGCCAGGCUCCAGUUCUCCCUCCUCAGAAAUAAGAGAACUGUGUUUGAUUCCAGAAACCAAACGUGGAGCUAAUGCCAUGUGCCACUGCAGUGACACCCAGCCCUGGAGCCAGCUGACUGCACAGACACCUGCACAAAGUUCUUGUGUCCCUCAGAGCCUCUUUAGCAAAUGCAGGAGUUGUGGCUUUGAGGCUCCAAGAAAGUUGUACUGUGUUUUUUCAUGGCUGUGAUAAUUUUCCUGGAUAUAACUGUUAUACUGUGGCCUGGUGUAUGUGAUGAAAUGCAGGAGAAGGGAAGAACUGCUCUGGGAUUUGACAAGGAGACAAAAAGUCCUGAGAGAAAAUGAAAUCUCUCUGGCAGCUUGAGUGACUUUUGCUCUCCCCUGUCAGUAACUGGGUACAAGUGGAUUGCUGCUCAUUCAGAAGAGCAGAGCAGUGUGAAAAGCAACUCAACAGGCAACCCUACUUAUUCCACACCCAGUUUUCAAAGGAAUUCUGCCAUUCUUUGCUAAUGGUACCUGUUCAAAUUUCCAUCCGUCGGACAUGGUGGACACCAUCUGUGUGAGCUCUUCCUCUUGGCACUGCAGCACUCUGUACACGUGCUUCACAGGCCCCUGGAGCACAGACAACAAUGGCUCUACUUAGUAAUUGCUUUAUUAGCAUCAUGCUAGAAAAUUAAUAAGCUGCUCCUGCUCUCAUCUUAGGAAGUCAGAGCCCCAAGGGCUUUCUAAGGGUGUUUUUAUCCCACUGAUUCCAAAACACAACCAUAUGCCUGGCACUCUUCUCUUAAAAGCUUUCUAGGUGUCUAAGCUAAAACUUCUUUAGCUUUCAAAGCCAUUUGCUGCUUUUUGAAAACAUUUCUGAAAUUGAAUCCACUGGAUGUGCUGAUAUCAGCUGAGCAUCAAUGGGAAACAUGUCACAGAGAGACACAGGGAAGAAAUGGUUUAGAGAAGGAAGAGUUUGAGCUGUUCUUUGGCAAAGCAGUAUGUUCUGCUUUAUAACCACCCAUUUCUGCUCCUGGCCCCUCUCCUGUAAGUGUCCUUUGCCUUUCCCUGCAGUGCUGACUCAGUGCUCUGUGCUUUAUAAAGCCACACUGAGGACUUUUUGCUGGCCAUGCCCUGCUUCCACCCAACAGCAUUUAUUGCCCUGUUACUGCUGAGCCCAAGAAGUGCUGCUGCAAGGGCCUGCAGCCAUGCCUGUCCUCCUGAGCCCCAGAGCUGGCUCACAAGCCAGAGGGGCUUUACUUGAGAGGUUCUGUUCUCGUUGUCGCGGAUCCGCUCCUUCACCAGGCGCACCAGGGACGCGAUGUUGUAGAACUCAGCCUCCUCCAGCACCCCUGCAGAGCAACCCAGAGCACAGUCCUGUCACUCUGCACAGCACGGAAUGAAGAUCAUCCUGCCACAGGGAUGCAAACCUGCUGCUGACUCCAAAUCUAGCCCAGAUGUCAGAAUCCCAAAUGUGCCACCCACCUCCUGCUCCCAGGCUAGGAGAAAAUGCUGCCACCUCCUGCUGUGCCUUAAGAGGAGCUUUAUGAAACAUUAUUCCUGGGGUGGAUGCUUUGUGGGGGGCUCCUGGAUUGAGUGGAGAGAUGAGAAUCUCGACUCCAUGUUUCAGAAAUGGAGUCGAGAUUCUCAUUAAAAUAUCUUAUUAAAAUAUCAUUGUAAUAUAAUAUGUAUAACCAGCCUUCUGGUUUAUUAUAUUAUGAUAUAUAUUAUAUUAAAAUGAUAUAUUAAAACUAUACUAAAAGAAUAGAGAGAAAAGAAUCCAUCAGAAGGCCAGAAAGAACAAGAAUGGAAUGCAGUGACAAAGGCUUGUGACUGCUCAAACCUUGACACAGGAGGUGUGAUUGGUCAAGUGAAAACAAUUUACCUGUUGGUAAACAAUGCCCACACUACAUUCUACAGCCAUCAGAUAGUUCAUUGUUUACAUUUCUUUUCUGAGGCCUCUCAGCUAGGAGAAGAAUCCUAGCAAAGGAUUUUUCAUAAAACAUCAUGGUACAUAUUCAUAAAACAUCAUGGUACAUAUCAUACCCUGGGAUGAUCAGAAAUCUCAGGGUACAAUGUCUGUUUCUUCACCCAGCCCCAGAGCUGCCUGCCUGGGGAGAGCCAGGCCUGUGAGGGGCAGAGGGGCUGGAACAGAGCAGUGACAGGCUGUGCUGAGAGCUGCAGCUCUGCUCUGGGGACACACACAGCUGGUGAUUUAACCCCUGCUAACAAGCAAUUAACAGCACUAACAGCACUCCUGGUGCUUUUCUCUCACCUUCCUCUGCCAGCUCCUUGUUGAUGAUGAGCUUCCCGUGCCGGAGGUAGUUCAGGAUGGGGCCAAAGUAGGUGGGGUCUCUGUCGAUGAGAUAGGCUCCAGUCUCAUCCUGAGGGCAAAACAGGCAGGGCUCAGAGCUGCCAGCAAAACAGGACUGCAACCCAACCCAACACAUGGGACAGAUCCUCUCUGAGCAGCUGGAAUCAUCUGCCUGUGGGAGGUGUUCAAACUGUGUAUGUGUUCAAAGGUGUGCUGCAUUUAAAGCAUUUUUCCUUUUCAGUAUCUGCUCUACAACACUGCAGAUGUCUUGCAUGAGGCACCUGGGCAGCUCGUGGGCCUGGAGAGAACAGCUGGGGUCAGGGGGCAGUAAGAGCCAAACCCUGGCACUGGUGUUGUGGCUCAGCUGUUCUCCAGGCAGGUUUAACCAGGGGGCUCUGGAGGAAAAUGGGAUCUCCAGUUCUAGCCAAAACAGUUCAUUUUUAACCCUUUCCACCACUGCAGUGCUCCAGCCACGUGUCCAGCAAUACAACAACUCCUGGCACCAAUAACCAAGAGCUGGCAGCCAAGAGCACCUCCUGAGCAGCCCUGAAGCACUGACAAGCCUCUUCAGAGCUCUCACAGCCCUCUCUCAAGGACUUCACAGCACUGUUCCCCCUGCCAAUCCUCUCUAAAGCAACAAGGCACUGUGCAAACCCACUCUGAAAUCUCUCCUCUGCUCACCGAGGCUGCUGGCUGAUGUUUUGAUCACAACCAGGAUUUAUCUUGUGAUUAAACUCCAAAAGGAGCAGCAACAGACUCGACUGCUUCUGGCCCACUCACAACAUUUACAACACCUUGUGCUUUUCCACCCAGUCCUGGGGGAAAUCUGCAACUGCAGGAAUGAUUGUUAAUUGCAAAAUCCUUACAAUAAACUGAAAAAAAAAAUCUGCAGUUGCAAGAAUAAUCGAAAAUCCUUACAAUAAACUGCAAUGACUGCAAAAAACUCUGCAAUUGCAAGAAUAACUGUUUGAAAGAUCCUUAUAAUAAGUUCAAAACUGCCCA
Passer domesticus (house sparrow) is the source of this 5043-nucleotide long non-coding RNA. RefSeq lists it as uncharacterized. The record is from RefSeq and is a predicted model, not a curated record. The transcript is spliced from 4 exons. Lineage: Eukaryota; Metazoa; Chordata; Aves; Passeriformes; Passeridae.